This is a long non-coding RNA of Gallus gallus (chicken), 1092 nucleotides long. NCBI's taxonomy places the organism in Eukaryota, Metazoa, Chordata, Aves, Galliformes, Phasianidae. The record is from Ensembl.
AACUGAAUAUUAUGCAGAGAGAACUUCUGAAGCAUGUUUAAUAAUGCUUAUACUUCUACACACUGUGAUAUUUCAAAGUCUGAUAGAUAGACUUAUUGCUGAUGAUGAAUUUUCAGUGCAAUAGGAGAGAGUUAAUAAUUUCUCUACAGUGGUUCCUAUUUAAUAUUAAAAUAUUAUUUUUCACUUUGAUCUUUAAGAUGGAGAAACAUAAACGUUGUAUGACCCUCGAUAUGAAAUUCAUCUGUAAAGAGUACCAAAUUGGCACAAGUUUUCAGCACUGUUUUGAGUCAACUUCAAUUUGUUGUUAUCUAACUUGUGGACCUGCUGUUUUUGUGUUUCCCUCAAUCUUGCUCACGGUUACUCAUGACAGGAAGGGGUGUUGAAGUUUUCUGAAGGCGUUCUUCUGUCAAGGCAGAUUUUGAGAACUCUGUAGCCGUAUCUGACAUUUCCAAAAUACAGCUGAGAAACACACAGCAACUCCAGACAACCGGAAGCUUCUGUGGAAAUAAAAAACUUGAUUCUGAUGGAUGGAAUUAUCAAUUAUUAUAUGAGGAGUGGACUCUUGCAGCAUGGUCACUGUUUUGUUAACAAAGCACUAAAGUUGUCAUAUAUGUCUAAACCAGUCUGAAUUUGGAGAUGAAAUAGACUACAUACAUGUACACUUGUAUCUGCUGAAGUAUUCCCAAACAGAUGAAUGUUAGAGUUCUUCCUGCCUCUACUGUAAAGACCGCUGGAAAACAAGAAAUGAAACACUUAAUUUAACACAGCAGUACAUUUUGUUCUUUCCUAUAGAAGUAUGCAAAUGAAGUAAUUAAACUGGGUUUCAUGAAACCAUCUCCCCUUUGUUUCUGAUCUACUAAUCAUGUAUGUGCUUGACUUUGUAUAUAGACAAGAUGUUUAUAUCAUCCUUUGUUUCUUUAGAGGUUCUCAUUCAAGUAUUGAUACAUCAUCUAUUCUGAGAGAUGGAGAAGGUUCAAAGCUAGUUUAAACAUGGCUUUGAACAACUAGAUCCAGUGGAAGAUACUCCUUGACAAUGGCAGAGGGUUGGACUAAAUGAUCUUUAAAUGUUCCUUCCAACCCAAAUCAUUAUAU